UACGAAGGGUGCAAACGUUGCUCGGAAUUAUUGGGCGUAAAGCGCACGUAGGCGGCUCAACAAGUCGGAUGUGAAAUCCCUCGGCUCAACCAAGGAAGUGCACCCGAAACUGUCGAGCUUGAAUAUGGAAGAGGGUCGCGGAAUUCCCGGUGUAGAGGUGAAAUCCGUAGAUAUCGGGAGGAACACCAGUGGCGAAGGCGGCGACCUGGGCCAAUAUUGACGCUGAGGUGCGAAAGCGUGGGGAGCAAACAGG
This 253-nucleotide ribosomal RNA is filed under the name uncultured bacterium. Its description in RNAcentral is "partial 16S ribosomal RNA". It matches the Rfam family "Bacterial small subunit ribosomal RNA", at positions 524 to 776 of the family's 1533-position model. The record is from RNAcentral.